Molecule: long non-coding RNA, 240 nt
Filed under: Medicago truncatula (barrel medic)
Lineage: Eukaryota; Viridiplantae; Streptophyta; Magnoliopsida; Fabales; Fabaceae
Description: long non-coding RNA (MTRU_LNC004101)
Source: RNAcentral
CUUGUCUUAACCCUCUCUUUAACGGGAAUUCAUCAGUUGGACUUCCAUUAACUAAAACAGACGCUGUGGCAGUGCUGACACAUUCUUUGCUCCAUUUUCUCCAAAGAACAGGAAAAGACAUGCAACCCAUAACAGAAUCUAAGUAACCCCAGUCCACCGAAUCAUAAGCCUUUUCAAAGUCCACUUUAAACAACAUAAGCUCUUUUUUAGAUUUACAAGCUUCAUCGACAACUUCGUUAG